AAGUCGUAACAAGGUCUCCGUAGGUGAACCUGCGGAGGGAUCAUUACACAAAUACGAAGGCGGGCUGGAACCUCUCGGGGUUACAGCCUUGCUGAAUUAUUCACCCUUGUCUUUUGCGUACUUCUUGUUUCCUUGGUGGGUUCGCCCACCACUAGGACAAACAUAAACCUUUUGUAAUUGCAAUCAGCGUCAGUAACAAAUUAAUAAUUACAACUUUCAACAACGGAUCUCUUGGUUCUG
This 240-nucleotide unclassified non-coding RNA is filed under the name Alternaria sp. RNAcentral's name for it is "partial internal transcribed spacer region". The stretch from base 1 to 46 matches the Rfam family "Eukaryotic small subunit ribosomal RNA", at positions 1786 to 1831 of the family's 1831-position model. Lineage: Eukaryota; Fungi; Ascomycota; Dothideomycetes; Pleosporales; Pleosporaceae. The record is from RNAcentral.